RNAcentral lists this ribosomal RNA (420 nucleotides) under uncultured bacterium. RNAcentral describes it as "partial 16S ribosomal RNA". It matches the Rfam family "Bacterial small subunit ribosomal RNA", at positions 362 to 774 of the family's 1533-position model. The record is from RNAcentral.
UAUUGGACAAUGGGCGAAAGCCUGAUCCAGCCAUGCCGCGUGUGUGAAGAAGGUCUUCGGAUUGUAAAGCACUUUACGUUGGGAGGAAGGGCUGUAAUUUAAUACCUUGCUGUUUUGACGUUCCUGACAGAAUAAGCACCGUCUACCUUCGUUCCCGCCGCCGCGGUAAUACGAAGGGUGCACGCGUUCUUCGGAAUUACUGGGCUUAAAGCGCGCGUAGGUGGUUUGUUAAGUUGGAAGUGAAAGACCCGGGCUACACCUGGGAACUGCUUUCAAAACUGGCAAGCUAGAGUAUGGCAGAGGGUGGUGGAAUUUCCUGUGUAGCGGUGAAAUGCGUAGAUAUAGGAAGGAACACAAGUGGCGAAGGCGACCACCUGGGCUAAUACUGACACUGAGGUGCGAAAGCGUGGGGAGCAAACA